Molecule: long non-coding RNA, 517 nt
Filed under: Panax ginseng (ginseng)
Lineage: Eukaryota; Viridiplantae; Streptophyta; Magnoliopsida; Apiales; Araliaceae
Description: long non-coding RNA (PGIN_LNC017818)
Source: RNAcentral
ACCAGGCAUGCGAUAGACCGCACAGGCAGGUUAUUCCAACAGAAUAAUAAAUAACGGAACCAAGUCAUGCGUAAAUGCACAGGCAGGAUAUUCUAACAGAAUAAUAAAUAACGGAACCAGGUCAGGCAAACUUCGCACCGACAGGAUGUUCCAACAGAAUAAUAAAUAACGGAACCAGGUCAUGCGUAAACGCACAGACAUGAUGUUCCAACAGAAUAAUAAAGAAUGGAAUAACAGAAGAAUUUCACCAUGUAUGCGGUACUUCACAUAGACAGGUUAUUCCAACAUAAUGAUAAAGAAUGAAAUAACAGAAGAAUUUCACCAAGUAUAGGGUAGACCGCGUAUACAGGUUAUUCCAACAGAAUAAAAAAAUAGAAUAACAGAAGUUCUCUUAAUGAAUACGAAAGAAAUAAUACCCCUUACCUUAGUAGAAAAUUGGAUACCGCAAUAUUGUAGUAACAGAAGAUUCUUCUUCUUUCUCUCUUAUUCUCUCUAUUCUUUCUCGCUCUAAAACUUU